AUGGGAUGCUCAGGGCUGUUGAUUUUGGGCUUUGUCCUAAGUGUGUCUCACUGCUUGGACAUGUUGGAUAUGGAGGAGGACAUGGAGAUUGACCGUAACGUCACUGGGAUCCUUGGAGAGGAUGUCUUCCUCCGCUGUCAGUACCUGGGACCGAAUGACAUCACAGACGCCUCAUGGAAACGCCCAGACUCUAGAAUGAAGCGAUCAAUGAAGAAAUUAACAGGCUACAAGAACAACAAGGCUUUCAGCAAAGACCCAGACUUCUCCGCCCCAGCCUCUCCCACCAAUCUGACUGUGAAGAUGAGGGUGUCUACUCUGGAGGCCCAGGGGGAGUACACAUGUGUGUUCGCCACCGAUGAAGAGGAGAUCACUAACAGCAUGUUUCUCACUGUUCUGGCUCGACCUGAUAUCCACACAGUGGUGACAGAGGACACAGACAACGCUACCCACUACCAGUCAGUCACAUGCUCAGCUACCAAUGGUAAACCUGUGGCUCUGAUUCGCUGGGAGAUCAACGGCAGCCCUCCUACUGACGACUCCUCUGUGGAGAUGAGGAACACCAGUUAUACCAAUGGCACUGCCACUGUGACCAGCUUACUCCGCUUCCCCACCCACCUACAGGACCAGGACAGGGUGACCUGUGUGGUCCAGCACCCAACCCUGCCUGACCCCACCACACAUGUCACAGUGAGGGUGGAGACCUUCGUGGCUCCCAAUGUGACCAUUGAGACAUACCUGGUUCUAGAGGAAGGGGAGAAGUUCUGGGUGGUCACCUGUGGUGCGGCCGGAGGGCGACCCCGAGCUGACAUCACCCUGGUGCUGCCCAAUCAGGAGGUCAGUUCCAUGCUACAGAAGGAGGUUGUCAUGGAUGCAGCAGACACAUGGGUCAGGUCAUACCGCUUCCCAGCUGAGCUUCAUGAAGGGGAAAACAUCACCUGCCUGUUUGACCACCCCAAGUUCCCACACGGAGAGCUUCGGACCGUCACUUUGCCGGCAUUCUCUCUGUCUGCUGUUCGGCUGCAGAACCCAGGGUUGGCAGACAGCAGCAACAAGAGCCAGGCUGUAGAGUCAGUGGUUCUGGAGGAAGGACAGAGCAAAACCACCAUCGGGCUAGAGGUCAUUGGGGAUGUACCACGUUACAGUAUAGUAUGCACCAAAGAAGAGCAGUCUCUCCCUGAGGGUGUGGCAGUAUUUGGCAGUGCUCUAACCCUGCAGGGUCCUGUCGAGCUCUACCAUGCAGGGCUGUAUGAGUGUGAGGCCUCCUACUACAGCCACAGGGCAUCUGUACUGCUGGACAUUACCGUUAACCCACAUGUCAAGCAGCCUGUGACUGUUCCUCCCAGCAUAAGGAUUGAUGUCCAGGAUAGACUGGGUGACAGAUUCAUUGAGUGCCUGGCUGCAGACUCCGUCCCUGUUGCCAAUGUGUCCUGGGUUCUACCUGAGGGUGUGUCUGGGCCCUCCUGGUCCAGUCUCACAUCCCAUAAUGGAACCUAUUCUGUCAGCAGUGUGUUAGUGCUGCCUGCCUGCUCAGCCCAGGAGCUCAAUAUGGAGUGUGUGAUAGAUCAUACUGUGUUUGUGUUGCCAGAGAGAAGACAGAUAACACUCCCUGUGUGUGCUCCUCCUAACAUCACCAUCCAAUCCAGCUCUGAGUGGGAGGAAGAUGUAGCAUACACACUGGUGCAGUGCACUGUGGACAAUGUUGGACCUGCUGCCACCAUCUCCUGGAGUCUUGGAGACUGGGACAGUGACAAUAGUACCAGUCAGCUCAUGGAGGUGCAGGAGCAGCAGGUUCACAGGCAGCCUGAGCUCCAUGCCAAUGGCUCUGUGACGGUCCGUAGUGUGUUGAGGUUCCCCACUUCCAUGUUCUCUGGUCAGAAUGUCACCUGUGUGGUGGAUCACCUGGGUCUUGAGAAGCCAGAGAGAACAGGGAUACUGCUGCGUGGACUGGGUAAUUUACUUUAUGACUUGUAG
This 1971-nucleotide long non-coding RNA is filed under the name Oncorhynchus mykiss (rainbow trout). RNAcentral describes it as "lncRNA (ENSOMYG00000074013.1)". The record is from RNAcentral. Lineage: Eukaryota; Metazoa; Chordata; Actinopteri; Salmoniformes; Salmonidae.